CUGACGUGCAAAUCGUUCGUC
RNAcentral lists this non-coding RNA (21 nucleotides) under Arabidopsis thaliana (thale cress). Lineage: Eukaryota; Viridiplantae; Streptophyta; Magnoliopsida; Brassicales; Brassicaceae. The record is from RNAcentral.